GAUGAACGCUAGCGGCAGGCUUAAUACAUGCAAGUCGAGGGGCAGCACGGUUAGCAAUAACUGGUGGCGACCGGCGCACGGGUGCGUAACACGUAUACAAUCUACCUUAAACAGGGGGAUAGCCUUUCGAAAGAGAGAUUAAUACCCCGUAAUAAAUUGAACGGCAUCGUUUGAUUUUGAAAGCUCCGGCGGUUUGAGAUGAGUAUGCGUCUGAUUAGCUAGUUGGUGAGGUAACGGCUCACCAAGGCGACGAUCAGUAGGGGAUCUGAGAGGACUAACCCCCCACACUGGUACUGAGACACGGACCAGACUCCUACGGGAGGCAGCAGUAAGGAAUAUUGGUCAAUGGAGGCAACUCUGAACCAGCCAUGCCGCGUGCAGGAAGAAGGCCUUCUGGGUUGUAAACUGCUUUUAUCUGGGGAUAAAAAGGCCUUGCGAGGCAAACUGAAGGUACCAGAUGAAUAAGCCACGGCUAACUACGUGCCAGCAGCCGCGGUAAU
Molecule: ribosomal RNA, 500 nt
Filed under: uncultured bacterium
Lineage: Bacteria
Description: bacterial SSU rRNA
Rfam family: Bacterial small subunit ribosomal RNA
Source: RNAcentral